GAUGAACGCUGGCGGCGUGCCUAAUACAUGCAAGUCGAGCGAACAGACGAGGAGCUUGCUCCUCUGACGUUAGCGGCGGACGGGUGAGUAACACGUGGAUAACCUACCUAUAAGACUGGGAUAACUUCGGGAAACCGGAGCUAAUACCGGAUAAUAUAUUGAACCGCAUGGUUCAAUAGUGAAAGACGGUUUUGCUGUCACUUAUAGAUGGAUCCGCGCCGCAUUAGCUAGUUGGUAAGGUAACGGCUUACCAAGGCAACGAUGCGUAGCCGACCUGAGAGGGUUGUCGGCCACACUGGAACUGAGACACGGUCCAGACUCCUACGGGAGGCAGCAGUAGGGAAUCUUCCGCAAUGGGCGAAAGCCUGACGGAGCAACGCCGCGUGAGUGAUGAAGGUCUUCGGAUCGUAAAACUCUGUUAUUAGGGAAGAACAAAUGUGUAAGUAACUAUGCACGUCUUGACGGUACCUAAUCAGAAAGCCACGGCUAACUACGUG
Molecule: ribosomal RNA, 497 nt
Filed under: uncultured bacterium
Lineage: Bacteria
Description: partial 16S ribosomal RNA
Rfam family: Bacterial small subunit ribosomal RNA
Source: RNAcentral